Molecule: ribosomal RNA, 1207 nt
Filed under: Limosilactobacillus fermentum
Lineage: Bacteria; Bacillati; Bacillota; Bacilli; Lactobacillales; Lactobacillaceae
Description: bacterial SSU rRNA
Rfam family: Bacterial small subunit ribosomal RNA
Source: RNAcentral
UCAGGAUGAACGCGGCGGUGUGCCUAAUACAUGCAAGUCGAACGCGUUGGCCCAAAUUGAUUGAUGGUGCUUGCACCUGAUAGAUUUUGGUCGCCAACGAGUGGCGGACGGGUGAGUAACACGUAGGUAACCUGCCCAGAAGCGGGGGACAACAUUUGGAAACAGAUGCUAAUACCGCAUAACAACGUUGUUCGCAUGAACAACGCUUAAAAGAUGGCUUCUCGCUAUCACUUCUGGAUGGACCUGCGGUGCAUUAGCUUGUUGGUGGGGUAACGGCCUACCAAGGCGAUGAUGCAUAGCCGAGUUGAGAGACUGAUCGGCCACAAUGGGACUGAGACACGGCCCAUACUCCUACGGGAGGCAGCAGUAGGGAAUCUUCCACAAUGGGCGCAAGCCUGAUGGAGCAACACCGCGUGAGUGAAGAAGGGUUUCGGCUCGUAAAGCUCUGUUGUUAAAGAAGAACACGUAUGAGAGUAACUGUUCAUACGUUGACGGUAUUUAACCAGAAAGUCACGGCUAACUACGUGCCAGCAGCCGCGGUAAUACGUAGGUGGCAAGCGUUAUCCGGAUUUAUUGGGCGUAAAGAGAGUGCAGGCGGUUUUCUAAGUCUGAUGUGAAAGCCUUCGGCUUAACCGGAGAAGUGCAUCGGAAACUGGAUAACUUGAGUGCAGAAGAGGGUAGUGGAACUCCAUGUGUAGCGGUGGAAUGCGUAGAUAUAUGGAAGAACACCAGUGGCGAAGGCGGCUACCUGGUCUGCAACUGACGCUGAGACUCGAAAGCAUGGGUAGCGAACAGGAUUAGAUACCCUGGUAGUCCAUGCCGUAAACGAUGAGUGCUAGGUGUUGGAGGGUUUCCGCCCUUCAGUGCCGGAGCUAACGCAUUAAGCACUCCGCCUGGGGAGUACGACCGCAAGGUUGAAACUCAAAGGAAUUGACGGGGGCCCGCACAAGCGGUGGAGCAUGUGGUUUAAUUCGAAGCUACGCGAAGAACCUUACCAGGUCUUGACAUCUUGCGCCAACCCUAGAGAUAGGGCGUUUCCUUCGGGAACGCAAUGACAGGUGGUGCAUGGUCGUCGUCAGCUCCUGUCCUGAGAUGUUGGGUUAAGUCCCGCAACGAGGGCAACCCUUGUUACUAGUUGCCAGCAUUAAGUUGGGCCUCUAUUGGAACUGCCGGUGACAAACCGGAGGAAGGUGGGGACAACUCCAAA